RNAcentral lists this ribosomal RNA (301 nucleotides) under uncultured bacterium. RNAcentral describes it as "partial 16S ribosomal RNA". It matches the Rfam family "Bacterial small subunit ribosomal RNA", at positions 509 to 807 of the family's 1533-position model. The record is from RNAcentral.
CAGUCGCCGCGGUAAUACGUAGGUGGCAAGCGUUGUCCGGAAUUAUUGGGCGUAAAGGGCUCGCAGGCGGUUUCUUAAGUCUGAUGUGAAAGCCCCCGGCUCAACCGGGGAGGGUCAUUGGAAACUGGGAAACUUGAGUGCAGAAGAGGAGAGUGGAAUUCCACGUGUAGCGGUGAAAUGCGUAGAGAUGUGGAGGAACACCAGUGGCGAAGGCGACUCUCUGGUCUGUAACUGACGCUGAGGAGCGAAAGUGUGGGGAGCGAACAGGAUUAGAUACCCCGGUAGUCCCUGUCUCUUAUAC